AAUAAAAUCUGGACAGCUAUUGGGUGACACUCUGUCAAUAUUAAGAGUGGGCGGGAGAAUAUAAAAGGCAGCGUAUAGUUCGUAAUCAUGUAGUGCAGUUCUGGACAGCGAAGAGAGCGGACAGCAGGGGAAAUUAAACUGUACAGACCUUUUCGACACCUACUUCCAUUACUUUCAAAAAUGGCUCGUAAAAAACAGAGCUGCCCGCUGUGCCUUGUCAGGUACACAAACGUGUGCGUCCACCUGAGGGACGUACAUAAAGUUAAAACAAGCGAGGAGCGCAAGCUUCUAAUUUCAAUAGCAACCUGUAGGUACGCUGGCCGCGUGGAUUGCCAGAUACCGGGCCGCAAUGCAAGGAAUCUGUCGCGCAUUGACAGACACUUGCAAGUGAGCCAUGAGUUGAAGGGUGAGGAACUGGCUCAUCAGGUCCGUCUCUGCAAGCGUAUUGCUGCAAGAGGCGCCCUUCGGAAAUUUAACCAGAAAAUGAAAGAGAACGGCAGUGAGGUGGAAGAACUUAAAAAAACCGUGGACGAACUUAAAAAGCAUCUCGAUGCGUCAGAGUCGCAAAAGUCAGAGGGUCACCACAGACUUCUCUUCACAGAGAAAGUAUUAACAAAAUUCAAAGCAAGCCUAUACCUUGUCGGGGAAUCAAAAAAAUCCAUAGAAAACAGUAGGCAGGAAUUGGGAUAUGUAAAAAAUUUUGUUGAAUAUAUGUGGGAUCAUUCAGACAGCCCGGACCCAGCCCACAUGAAAUUUUUAAAUGAUCCAUUCAGGAUCAACAAUUGGGUGGAAGGACUAUAUUCUAAAUUUAAAGUUACAACUUGUAAAACCUAUAUAUUGGCAAUUAAAAAAAAAUUCAGUUUUUGUCGGAGCAAAAUUUGAAGUGCGUACAAUUGGGCAGCAAAUUUUUAUUGGGCAUUCAGCGGCACUUGCAGUGUCAAAUUCAUGCAUUAGGGAAAAGAAUUGUGGGGCACAGGCAGGAGGUUAAGCAAAACAAGAAGAAAAGGAUGCUGACUCGUCACGAUUUGGCGCACUCUGGCAACAGACCUGGAGAAUAGGAUUCCUGAGUCUCUAGAUCACUAGCCAUAAGACAGCUGGUACUUUUGGGAGGGCGAAGGUUGCCCUGAACCGAAAGGAGUUCAGAUGGUUCCAGAAAUUUGAGAAAAUCAGGCCACAUCUCCCAGGAUACCAGUACAACCCAGUCGCCUUCUUUUUUAGUGCGUCAGGCCAGCCAUUGCGGAAAUUGACGGAGUUUGUGAUGCAGGCAUGUUGGUGAGUGUGGGAUGCCACGUCCCUACAAUGUGACAGAGAUCCGUAGUGCUGUCUCCACCUGUGUAAGUAAAAAUUGCUAUAGUCUUUUGCAUAGGAUAAAAUAUUGGUUGUACACUAACAUGGUUUUCAUCUUUUAUGAUAGGUGCAUGGAAUUGCUUCAGAGGAAGAGAGGCGUCUGGUCUCUCAGCUAAUGUACCACAGUGUGGAGACCGCAGAUCGGUUUUAUGUUGUGGAGCCAGGCUUUGCAGAUUCUCACAGGGGAAGUAAUAUUGUUAAGGCGGCACUGGGUAUUGGCAAGGCAUGCCGUACAACAGAUCUGCAGUCUGACACUGUGGCACAAGGAAGCAGCGCUGUAACACCGAGAAGGCAUAUUUCAGUAAUAGAGUCGUCUGAGGAAGAAGACGAAUCCUCAGCUGCAUGUAGCCACGCAGUAGAGGGGCCCGGUGUAACAGACCUGUGCUGGGGAAGGUGAGGUCAUUGAAUUGCAUCUUAGUGCAGAAGAGUCUGACCCUGGCAGGGAGGAACAUUGUGGUGUCUCUGUUAAGAAGGGCACUGAUGAAUUGUGUCUUUAAAAGUUAGAUGAAGGCAAAGGCUCAUUUGUUUUUGAAGUAGAAGAGGAAGGAGAUGAAGAAGAGGAGCAGGGUGAAUUUCCUAGUCCUCUUCGGAAAAGUCUUCAUUACCCAGGGAAAACUAGGCAAGUUUAUAGGAGGAGGCUUUCAUACCCAGAGACUAUGAAAGAAAUGGUGAAGAAUGUUUUUAAGCCAUAUUGAGAUUCACCCAUAUCAACAGUCAUUAUAAAUAAAGUACUAAGCGAUACACCUCUACUUUUGAGCCGAUGCAAGCAGAUGGACAUGACCAUAGACAACUUUAGAAGUCUGGUCAAGCAACUGCAAAAAAAUGUAGAAGACUAUUGAUCUCGAUGGCAGCGCUGAGUUAUUUCUUCUUUCUUUUUUCCUGAAAGUAUUGUUUUACCCUUUCAGUAAAAGCUGUUUUAUGGUGAAUAAAACUUGGUUGACUUUGCAUGAA
This is a long non-coding RNA of Brienomyrus brachyistius, 2298 nucleotides long. RefSeq lists it as uncharacterized. The transcript has 10 exons. NCBI's taxonomy places the organism in Eukaryota, Metazoa, Chordata, Actinopteri, Osteoglossiformes, Mormyridae. The record is from RefSeq and is a predicted model, not a curated record.